GGGCUUUAACUUGUUGAAUUCUGGUAUGCCAAAUUUAAGCUAGUUUGAAAUCAAGUAAUUGAAAUUCAUUGAAUAAAGAGCUGACUCUUAAUCAGCGGGUCGUAGGUUCGAGCCCUACAUCACCCACCA
RNAcentral lists this transfer RNA (129 nucleotides) under Martinezella leucaenae. RNAcentral's name for it is "Rhizobium leucaenae tRNA-Lys". Lineage: Bacteria; Pseudomonadati; Pseudomonadota; Alphaproteobacteria; Hyphomicrobiales; Rhizobiaceae. The record is from RNAcentral.